UAUACAUUUCACUUGGCAGUCACUUAAAUUUCAAGUGAAUUCAUCCACAUUCACUUUAGUCGUCACUUGAAUUAGAAAGUUCAAAAUGGCAAAUCCUAAAGAGCAGCGUUUAAAGCUUAUGCUGGAUUUGGAUUUUCCCAAUUCUUUACUAGGCGAUUUUGGCCUUGUGGGUUGAACUGGACAGAUUUUCUGGUUUGCAGCAGGGAAGAAUCAGAAGUUACACUAUCCCCAGUAACCAAUCUGCCUUGGGAUUACGAUGGAAUUUUCCAAUCAAUAAAUUUAUG
Molecule: long non-coding RNA, 284 nt
Organism: Uranotaenia lowii
Lineage: Eukaryota; Metazoa; Arthropoda; Insecta; Diptera; Culicidae
Exons: 3
Source: RefSeq, a predicted model, not a curated record